AUGCAUGUCUAAGUAUAAGUGUUAUACAGUGAAACUGCGAAUGGCUCAUUAAAACAGUUAUAGUUUAUUUGAUAAUCGAAUUUACAUGGAUAACCGUGGUAAUUCUAGAGCUAAUACAUGCUGGUUAGCCUGACUUUUAGGAAGGGCUGUAUUUAUUAGAUAACAAACCAAUAUUCUUCGUGUCUAUUGUGACGACUCAUAAUAACUGAUCGGAUCGCAUGGGCUUUGCCCGCGACAAAUCAUUCAAGUUUCUGCCCCAUCAGCUUUCGAUGGUAGUGUAUUGGACUACCAUGGCUUUAACGGGUAACGGAGGAUUAGGGUUCGAUUCCGGAGAGGGAGCCUGAGAAACGGCUACCACAUCUAAGGAAGGCAGCAGGCGCGUAAAUUACCCAAUCGCGACUCGCGGAGGUAGUGACAAGAAAUAACAGACCGAAGCUAACGUUUCGGGAUUGCAAUGAGUAGAAUUUAAACCCCUUUACGAGGAUCAAUUGGAGGGCAAGUCUGGUGCCAGCAGCCGCGGUAAUUCCAGCUCCAAUAGCGUAUAUUAAAGUUGUUGCAGUUAAAAGCUCGUAGUUGGACUUCUGGGAGGAUGCCAAUGUCCGCUUGUUAGCGUGUGCAGCGGCGUCCUUCCAUCCUUCUGUUAACGUUUCUUGGUAUUCACUUACUGGUUUCGGGCUCAGAUAUUUUACCUUGAGAAAAUUAGAGUGUUUCAGGCAGGCUUGCGCCGGAAUACAUUAGCAUGGAAUAAUAGAAUAGGACUUUAGUCUCCUUUGUUGGUUGAAGAACCAAAGUAAUGAUUAAUAGGGAUAGUUGGGGGCAUUUGUAUUUCAAGGUCAGAGGUGAAAUUCUUGGAUUCUUGGAAGACAAACUAAUGCGAAAGCAUCUGCCAAGGAUGUUUUCAUUGAUCAAGAACGAAAGUUAGGGGAUCGAAGACGAUCAGAUACCGUCGUAGUCUUAACCAUAAACUAUGCCGACUAGGGAUUGGUGGAUGUUGUUAUUGACGCCAUCAGCACCUUAUGAGAAAUCAAAGUUUUUGGGUUCUGGGGGGAGUAUGGUCGCAAGGCUGAAACUUAAAGGAAUUGACGGAAGGGCACCACCAGGAGUGGAGCCUGCGGCUUAAUUUGACUCAACACGGGGAAACUCACCCGGCCCGGACACUGGAAGGAUUGACAGAUUGAGAGCUCUUUCUUGAUUCGGUGGGUGGUGGUGCAUGGCCGUUCUUAGUUGGUGGAGUGAUUUGUCUGGUUAAUUCCGAUAACGAACGAGACUCUGGCCUACUAACUAGUGAUCGGAUUUUUCAGUCUGAUUGACUUCUUAGAGGGACAAGCAGUGUUCAGCUGCAUGAAAAAGAG
RNAcentral lists this ribosomal RNA (1352 nucleotides) under uncultured eukaryote. RNAcentral describes it as "SSU rRNA". It matches the Rfam family "Eukaryotic small subunit ribosomal RNA", at positions 51 to 1450 of the family's 1831-position model. The record is from RNAcentral.